Long non-coding RNA from Oncorhynchus keta (chum salmon), 372 nucleotides. RefSeq lists it as uncharacterized. The record is from RefSeq and is a predicted model, not a curated record. NCBI's taxonomy places the organism in Eukaryota, Metazoa, Chordata, Actinopteri, Salmoniformes, Salmonidae. The transcript has 3 exons.
CCCUGCUAUCGCUCCCUAAACUCACAGGUAUUCCGGAAAUCCUGCUAUCUCUCCCAAAACUCACAGGUAUUCCGGAAACCCUGCUAUCGCUCCCUAAACUCACAGGUAUUCCGGAAAUCCUGCUAUCUCUCCCAAAACUCACAGGUAUUCCGGAAAUCCUGCUAUCUCUCCUAAAACUCACAGGUAUUCCGGAAACCCUGCUAUCUCUCCCUAAACUCACAGGUAUUCCGGAAACCCUGCUAUCUCUCCCAAAACUCACAGGUAUUCCGGAAACCCUGCUAUCUCUCCCAAAACUCACAGGUAUUCCGGAAACCCUGCUAUCUCUCCCAAAACUCACAGGUAUUCCGGAAACCCUGCUAUCUCUCCCUAAAC